RNAcentral lists this ribosomal RNA (501 nucleotides) under uncultured bacterium. RNAcentral describes it as "partial 16S ribosomal RNA". It matches the Rfam family "Bacterial small subunit ribosomal RNA", at positions 30 to 523 of the family's 1533-position model. The record is from RNAcentral.
AUUGAACGCUGGCGGCAGGCUUAACACAUGCAAGUCGAGCGGGGGAAGGUAGCUUGCUACCGGACCUAGCGGCGGACGGGUGAGUAAUGCUCAGGAAUCUGCCUAUUAGUGGGGGCCAACAUCUCGAAAGGGAUGCUAAUACCGCAUACGUCCUACGGGGGAAAGCAGGGGAUCUUCGGACCUUGCGCUAAUAGAUGAGCCUAAGUCGGAUUAGCUAGUUGGUGGGGUAAAGGCCUACCAAGGCGACGAUCGGUAGCGGGGCUGAGAGGAUGAUCCGCCACACUGGGACUGAGACACGGACCAGACUCCUACGGGAGGCAGCAGUGGGGAAUAUUGGACAAUGGGGGGAACCCUGAUCCAGCCAUGCCGCGUGUGUGAAGAAGGCCUUAUGGUUGUAAAGCACUUUAAGCGAGGAGGAGGCUACUCUAGUUAAUACCUAGGGAUAGUGGACGUUACUCGCAGAAUAAGCACCGGCUAACUCUGUGCCAGCCGCCGCAGUAA